This 22-nucleotide microRNA is filed under the name Anolis carolinensis (green anole). RNAcentral describes it as "Aca-Mir-1677-P7_3p (mature (co-guide))". Lineage: Eukaryota; Metazoa; Chordata; Lepidosauria; Squamata; Anolidae. The record is from RNAcentral. RNAcentral also lists the same sequence under 2 other names.
UGACUUCAGUGGGCUUAGGAUC